Myotis daubentonii (Daubenton's bat) is the source of this 722-nucleotide long non-coding RNA. RefSeq lists it as uncharacterized. NCBI's taxonomy places the organism in Eukaryota, Metazoa, Chordata, Mammalia, Chiroptera, Vespertilionidae. The record is from RefSeq and is a predicted model, not a curated record. The transcript is spliced from 3 exons.
GCGGAGCGGAGCGGAACUCGCAGAGCAAGCUAUGAAAUAAACAAGGAGAAUGAUCUGAAGUGGGAAGGCCAGAGUGGGCUACAGCAAUAAAUUGGGCAAGACAUGAUGAGGACUUGAACCUGUGCUUCAAAAGCUGGCAUGAAAAGAGAAGUUCAACAGAUACUUACAAGUAAAAAUAUUUUUAAAAAGACUUGGCUAAAAACAAAAACAAGACUUGGCUAAAGGACUUAAGGAAUGAAGAAAAAGAAAUGGAAUGAAACAGAAAAGAUGAAAAUGAAGAAAAGAAAAAAGGAAUGGAGUUCUGAAUCAUCACAUGGAAGACUCUUGUGAAAGAAGCCAAAUACAGAAGGCCACACACCAUAUGAUUCCAUUUAUACAAAUGUUCAGAAAAGGCAAAUCUAUAGAGACAGAAAGUAUAUUAGUGGUUGCCAGGGUCUGGGAAAAGGAGGAAGACAUAGGCAGUGACUGCUAAGGAGUCAGGGCUUCUCUGUGAGGUGAUGGAAAUGUUCUGCAAUCAGAUAGUGGUGAUGGUUAUACAACCCUGUGGAUAAUCUAAAAACCACUGAAUUGUACACUUUAAAAAGGUGAAUUUUAUGGUAUGUGAAUUAUUUCUCAAGCAAAAAAAGGGAUAAAAAAGAGUUUUUGUGUGUGUCUUUUUAAAAAAACGAUCUGACUGCUAUCGACUGUGGACAAGACAUUUAACCUACCUCUCAUUUUGUUGG